Molecule: ribosomal RNA, 253 nt
Filed under: uncultured bacterium
Lineage: Bacteria
Description: partial 16S ribosomal RNA
Rfam family: Bacterial small subunit ribosomal RNA
Source: RNAcentral
UACGAAGGGGGCUAGCGUUGCUCGGAAUCACUGGGCGUAAAGGGUGCGUAGGCGGGUCUUUAAGCCAGGGGUGAAAUCCUGGAGCUCAACUCCAGAACUGCCUUUGAUACUGAAGAUCUUGAGUUCGGGAGAGGUGAGUGGAACCGCGAGUGUAGAGGUGAAAUUCGUAGAUAUUCGCAAGAACACCAGUGGCGAAGGCGGCUCACUGGCCCGAUACUGACGCUGAGGCACGAAAGCGUGGGGAGCAAACAGG